GCGGGAGUAGCUCAGGGGUAGAGCACAACCUUGCCAAGGUUGGGGUCGUGGGUUCGAAUCCCAUUUCCCGCUCCA
RNAcentral lists this transfer RNA (75 nucleotides) under Phyllobacterium brassicacearum. RNAcentral's name for it is "tRNA-Gly". It matches the Rfam family "tRNA". From Rfam's summary of the family: Transfer RNA (tRNA) molecules are approximately 80 nucleotides in length. The record is from RNAcentral. Lineage: Bacteria; Pseudomonadati; Pseudomonadota; Alphaproteobacteria; Hyphomicrobiales; Phyllobacteriaceae. RNAcentral also lists the same sequence under 9 other names.